GAGUUUGAUCUUGGCUCAGGAUGAACGCUGGCGGCGUGCCUAAUACAUGCAAGUCGAGCGAACGGACGAGAAGCUUGCUUCUCUGAUGUUAGCGGCGGACGGGUGAGUAACACGUGGAUAACCUACCUAUAAGACUGGGAUAACUUCGGGAAACCGGAGCUAAUACCGGAUAAUAUUUUGAACCGCAUGGUUCAAAAGUGAAAGACGGUCUUGCUGUCACUUAUAGAUGGAUCCGCGCUGCAUUAGCUAGUUGGUAAGGUGACGGCUUACCAAGGCAACGAUGCAUAGCCGACCUGAGAGGGUGAUCGGCCACACUGGAACUGAGACACGGUCCAGACUCCUACGGGAGGCAGCAGUAGGGAAUCUUCCGCAAUGGGCGAAAGCCUGACGGAGCAACGCCGCGUGAGUGAUGAAGGUCUUCGGAUCGUAAAACUCUGUUAUUAGGGAAGAACAUAUGUGUAAGUAACUGUGCACAUCUUGACGGUACCUAAUCAGAAAG
RNAcentral lists this ribosomal RNA (499 nucleotides) under uncultured microorganism. Its description in RNAcentral is "bacterial SSU rRNA". It matches the Rfam family "Bacterial small subunit ribosomal RNA", at positions 9 to 490 of the family's 1533-position model. The record is from RNAcentral.